UUCACAUCACAGAAACUGAAAUUUUCUGUUUAUACACAGGCCAGGUAUAUAGGGGGAGGGCCUACUGCAUUCAAGCUUCCCCACACAGCACCAUCAAUCUACCUAAACUCUGAUUUGAAAGGACCACUAACUGCAGGGGUGAGAAAUGAUGAUUCAUUUUUCAUGCUCAUUCCAUCACAGCC
This 182-nucleotide small RNA is filed under the name Crocodylus porosus (Australian saltwater crocodile). Its description in RNAcentral is "TUC338 (ENSCPRG00005007432.1)". Lineage: Eukaryota; Metazoa; Chordata; Crocodylia; Crocodylidae. The record is from RNAcentral.